AGUAAAAGUCGUAACAAGGUUUCCGUAGGUGAACCUGCGGAAGGAUCAUUACCUAGAGUUUGUAGACUUCGGUCUGCUACCUCUUACCCAUGUCUUUUGAGUACCUUCGUUUCCUCGGCGGGUCCGCCCGCCGAUUGGACAACAUUCAAACCCUUUGCAGUUGCAAUCAGCGUCUGAAAAAACAUAAUAGUUACAACUUUCAACAACGGAUCUCUUGGUUCUGGCAUCGAUGAAGAACGCAGCGAAAUGCGAUAAGUAGUGUGAAUUGCAGAAUUCAGUGAAUCAUCGAAUCUUUGAACGCACAUUGCGCCCCUUGGUAUUCCAUGGGGCAUGCCUGUUCGAGCGUCAUUUGUACCUUCAAGCUCUGCUUGGUGUUGGGUGUUUGUCUCGCCUCUGCGUGUAGACUCGCCUUAAAACAAUUGGCAGCCGGCGUAUUGAUUUCGGAGCGCAGUACAUCUCGCGCUUUGCACUCACAACGACGACGUCCAAAAGUACAUUUUUACACUCUUGACCUCGGAUCAGGUAGGGAUACCCGCUGAACUUAAGCAUAUCAAUAAGCGGAGGA
Molecule: ribosomal RNA, 565 nt
Filed under: uncultured fungus
Lineage: Eukaryota; Fungi
Description: eukaryotic LSU rRNA
Rfam family: 5.8S ribosomal RNA (bases 195-348)
Source: RNAcentral